UCAUCCCCUACACUCAACUUUGGCCGACAUGCAUGAAAUGGUAUUGCACUUUGCUUGUCCUCUUGUAAUAUCAAGAAGUAGCCGGCCAUGCCAAGCUCUUGGCAUGCAUGAGCUGAAAUUUCUUCAUCUCCACUUUCUUCUCUUACAAGCCUUGCCUCCCACCUAACCCAAUCACUAAAUGAGCAGCCUCCCAACCAGCCCAAUCAAUGAGGAGGCAGCCAACCAUCCUCCCUCUAUAAAAGGAGCUUGGCCGGCCACCCCCUCCUCCUUUGCUUCUCAUUUUUGACUCUCCACUCCUUCCACCACUCACUCACACCCCUCUCCUACCUCUCCCCCACGAAAUCCUGCUCCACCUAGCUACCAUGGCCGGCCAUGGCCAUAGAAAGGCACCUAGAUGAAGCUCCCCUCCUCCAUCAAGCUCAUCCUCACCAUGAGAGCAUCCCUCUCACUCUCUUCUCCCCUAACCCUAGUUGAAUCCAGCCCUAUUUCUCCUUUCUCCUCUCACAAGAUUGGAUCUUGAUGCAGGUGCAUGUUGGUCCAAGCAUGGAGAAGGUUGAGCUAUCCUCAGAUCUGAAGCUCUUGACCAAAAUCCAAAUCGAGUGAUUCAAAGUUCCGCAGAUAGGUAUUGAAAAGAUCUACAACUUGGCAUUGGUCGCAUCCUCUAAUUCGUUACGGAUUUUGCAUGAUCAAGAUCUGGUCAGAUCUGACUUUGUCGAAUUAAACCAGGAGCUUGGAAGCGAAUUUUUGAAUGAAACCAAUUGGGGGAUAUUUGGUUUAUACCAUGGUGAUAACCGAGAGAGGCAAUUGCUAAGUUGUGAUGCACUCAUACCUUUACUAGAUGCGAACAAUUCCGGAGAAGAAGAAGAAGUGGAAUCGGAUGAGAAGAUUAUUUAUAUUGUUGGAAUUCUUAUAUUGAUGGAGUUGAAGAAGUACAGGGACAAAUAAGCCAAGACAAGCCAUCUUUUGACCUCUGAUUUGGUGUCUAGUUGGAUGUCAUUUGUUGAUGUCCAAAGCACCUUGGUUCUAUGUGUGUUGUUCUCCUUAUUAUUGUCAUAUAUGUAUGGUUGCUAGUGGAGUACUCCCUAGUGGUGAUACUCCACUAUUGUCUUUGUGAUUAUGGGAUGCAUGGUAUCAUGGCCGUGCUAUUCCUCUUGGUUAUCUUGUAUGCUCGACUUGAGCAUGUUCCAUCUCAAGAUAAUGACUUACACUACACCCACCACUUUUGUAGUAUAGAGGUAUCAAUGUCAUGAUCUUGGUGUAUUCUCAACUUGAGAGGAGUAUGCCGUGUACCCAUUGGAGAGUAUGUUGGAUAGUGAUAAUCCACUAUCUAAGUUGUAUAUUUAGCACCACAAAUCUGAAAGUAUAAUCCUCCUUGUGUGGUCAUAGUACAUGCUUACCUUAAGCAA
This is a long non-coding RNA of Lolium perenne, 1406 nucleotides long. RefSeq lists it as uncharacterized. NCBI's taxonomy places the organism in Eukaryota, Viridiplantae, Streptophyta, Magnoliopsida, Poales, Poaceae. The record is from RefSeq and is a predicted model, not a curated record.